This is a long non-coding RNA of Panthera uncia (snow leopard), 1696 nucleotides long. RefSeq lists it as uncharacterized. The transcript is spliced from 3 exons. The record is from RefSeq and is a predicted model, not a curated record. NCBI's taxonomy places the organism in Eukaryota, Metazoa, Chordata, Mammalia, Carnivora, Felidae.
AGGAUCAUCUGCUUCUGGACUGUGGUUGAAGGAAACCAGACAAAGCAAACACCAGAUAAGUGCAGCUUAUCCUUAAUGACUGGAUGUACUUCAUCCAUGACACUGACAUUUCAAUCUCCUCUAGCUUUAAAAGGUUUGUCUUCAUGUUGUAGAUGUUUUUCCGAAUCUGUAGAGCCCCUAGUCUAACAAGUAGGAGAUGUGUUAACUGAAACUGGACAGCAUCAUCCUGGUAAAUCCAGGGCACAGAAAACUGAAAUGUAUAACAGACACCUGAAGGAGUGAAGGCAACCACUAUCAGCUCUUUCCUAUCGUCUGGCUCCCACUAUGCCUUUUAGUGUCUUGAGAAACAUACAACAUCGAGUCUUCUGACACAUAAAUUGUAUGAAGACUCAGCAUGAGGCCAUGCUCAAGUAUUAUAAAGCUUCAUUAAAAAAAUAACACAAAGCUCCCAAAUUCAGCCCUUCUGAUUGGAUCUUCAGAGCAAAAGAACCUACUAAAUUUACCAGUAAAUGUUUCAAGCAAGACUUGUUAAUCCAACCAAGAAGCUUUGCCUUUGAAGAGAAGUUUGCCUCAACAGGGGAAUCUUAAUGAAUCACCAUUCACCAUGCAGUUUCGGCAACAGAGAACAUGACACGGGGUGGGGGGCAAUGAUGGCUUCCCUGGCACCUUUCAGAACACAGCCUGUGAAUGACUGCCUACUGACUGAGAACACCAGCCCUGCCAAGGACCGUGCAAAGGGGCAUGUGGGCAUCACUAGUGAGUGAUCUGUCUCUCAGGCAACAGAAACUGCUCUGGGAAGGAACUAUAUACAUUUGACUUCUAAUUGCUGGAUCCCCAUUUCUCCCUGUUAUCAAGCCUGGGCAUUCAACCACUUUUUCCAUUUGCAAUGGUAAUAAUAAAUCAACAUUCAACAGAAGUUUCCAAAGAAGAAAAUAAAAGAAGCUUAAGCUGGUAAUACUGAAUUAAUGUAUUUUCCUGGUUACUUACAAUGGUAAAGCAUUAUUUGCAUAGUAAGAAAAAUGCUAAUUUUAUUAAAGUGCUAUUCGAUAAGGCUUUCAGACUAACUUGCAGAACCCUAAAAAAUUAUACAGGGUGACUUGAUUUGUCAAUUCUAACCUCUUUGGAAUCAUUUGCCUGCACAGUUGCCACACUUGGAAGAAAAACCAAAUCCAGAACUGACUUGUUUCCUAAAUGAAUUGGGAAGUUGUCGUUAAAAAGCAUCUGCUACUUUACUGCAUUCAUGUAAAAGCAUUCUUGUGCGGCUAUAACGGACUAUUGAGCAGAUGUUUUAGAGCACUCUACUCACAGCAAUACGUGUAUCAUAAAAAAGAUAAGGAGCUACAACGUAAUUAAUGAUUUCGGUUCCUCUAUAAAUGCAUUUCACUUUUUUAAAAAAAAAUGGAUUUAAAGUUGUGUCAAGAACCUCAACUUUUUACUCAAGCAAUUCACUUGCAAGAAAGUGAACACAAAAUCAUUUACAACAAUAAAUAACGAAUGGUCAGACUCAGCCUGAUACCCAAUGUGAUGAAAUCUGAGGUUAUAAGAAAGGCUUCUCUAGACCAAAUCACCCUACGACCUCCCUGGGGAUCAGCCAGAUAAUUAGCCACUGGGUAUCAACUUCUUUGUGUUUUAAAUGUCUUCAAGUCAGGAGAAUAUGUUUCUUCAAGCCAGAAGAAUAUGUAACACUUAAAAUCAU